This 363-nucleotide long non-coding RNA is filed under the name Salvia miltiorrhiza (redroot sage). RNAcentral's name for it is "long non-coding RNA (SMIL_LNC011590)". Lineage: Eukaryota; Viridiplantae; Streptophyta; Magnoliopsida; Lamiales; Lamiaceae. The record is from RNAcentral.
AUACUCUUUCAAAGGCUUUAUGGUGGAGGAGCAUGAUGAUGGUGGUGUGGAGGAGCAUGGUGGCGAGGGUUUUUUGGUGCGCCGCCGUGACUGUGAUGAGGAGGCGGAGCACGACGGUUGUGGUGGUGGCGGCUGCCGUGAGGAGAGGGAGCGUGAUGGUGAUGGUGGUGGUGCUUGAGUGAAUUAUCAACACUCCACAACAUAUCCUCAUCUUCAUCAUUUUCAUCUAUAUUGGAAUCGAAUAAUGAUGCAUCUUCUUCUAAACUACGAGCAAGAGAUGCAGUGACCAAAAAAAUCAAGAAUCCGAUGAGAAAUAAGAGGGAAUAUGCACGACACAUUUUGUUAUUGAUUUUGUUUUUGUGU